This is a long non-coding RNA of Oncorhynchus tshawytscha (Chinook salmon), 647 nucleotides long. RefSeq lists it as uncharacterized. Lineage: Eukaryota; Metazoa; Chordata; Actinopteri; Salmoniformes; Salmonidae. The transcript is spliced from 5 exons. The record is from RefSeq and is a predicted model, not a curated record.
CCCAAUCACAUUCCUUUUCCCUUGGUUUAAAAACCCUGUCAGUUGUUUUCUCAAUAGUUCAAUCUCUCUGUCAUGCAAUCUCACUCUAGAGUGCUUGUUUUGUGUUUACAACUACAUAUCACUUUGUCACCACCUAGAAUACUUCAAAAUGAGAAGAUCCUGCCAUGGUAAAGACUACUGGGUGGACAAAGUGUAAAGGAGGAGAAAUAACUCCCACCAUGCAGCAGGACACCUUCAGCUGGGGUCUUUAUAAUGCAGGUGUAGAUGGCCAAGGAAGUUGCACGGAACUUUCCUCCCAAAUUGAUAUGGAACCUUCAAAAACACAUUGAGCAACUGCAGAAAAUAAAUGGCUGAGGAUAUACUAAACAUGUCUGAGUUCCACAAAGCCAAGAACUGCUUCAUGUGUGCCACUGAUAAAGAACCUGGAUGUGGCCCAAAGACUGACUGGGAAUGAAGACAAAAGAGUUCAACAGAGUAAAGAACACAAACAGGAAGUGCAGUCUUUGUUGUUGAAAAUGUAUGCAUUACCCCAUCCACACUGAAGAGGCUCUGACAUGUACAUCAACCAGGGAUAAAGAGAAAGUUAACAUGGUGAAUUGUUUCAUACUGAACUUCAAUUAAGUGUCUGACAUGUUGGAAAAGAUUAA